This 3071-nucleotide ribosomal RNA is filed under the name Campylobacter coli. RNAcentral describes it as "bacterial LSU rRNA". It matches the Rfam family "Bacterial large subunit ribosomal RNA". RNAcentral also lists the same sequence under 1 other name. The record is from RNAcentral. Lineage: Bacteria; Pseudomonadati; Campylobacterota; Epsilonproteobacteria; Campylobacterales; Campylobacteraceae.
AAAAAAGGUAAGCUACUAAGAGCGAAUGGUGGAUGCCUUGACUGGUAAAGGCGAUGAAGGACGUACUAGACUGCGAUAAGCUACGGGGAGCUGUCAAGAAGCUUUGAUCCGUAGAUUUCCGAAUGGGGCAACCCAAUGUAUAGAGAUAUACAUUACCUAUAUAGGAGCGAACGAGGGGAAUUGAAACAUCUUAGUACCCUCAGGAAAAGAAAUCAAUAGAGAUUGCGUCAGUAGCGGCGAGCGAAAGCGCAAGAGGGCAAACCCAGUGCUUGCACUGGGGGUUGUAGGACUGCAAUGUGCAAGAGGUGAGUUUAGCAGAACAUUCUGGAAAGUAUAGCCAUAGAGGGUGAUAGUCCCGUAUGCGAAAAACAAACCUUAGCUAGCAGUAUCCUGAGUAGGGCGGGACACGAGAAAUCCUGUCUGAAGCUGGGUCGACCACGAUCCAACCCUAAAUACUAAUACCAGAUCGAUAGUGCACAAGUACCGUGAGGGAAAGGUGAAAAGAACUGAGGUGAUCAGAGUGAAAUAGAACCUGAAACCAUUUGCUUACAAUCAUUCAGAGCCCUAUGUAGCAAUACAGGGUGAUGGACUGCCUUUUGCAUAAUGAGCCUGCGAGUUGUGGUGUCUGGCAAGGUUAAGCAAACGCGAAGCCGUAGCGAAAGCGAGUCUGAAUAGGGCGCUUAGUCAGAUGCUGCAGACCCGAAACGAAGUGAUCUAUCCAUGAGCAAGUUGAAGCUAGUGUAAGAACUAGUGGAGGACUGAACCCAUAGGCGUUGAAAAGCCCCGGGAUGACUUGUGGAUAGGGGUGAAAGGCCAAUCAAACUUCGUGAUAGCUGGUUCUCUCCGAAAUAUAUUUAGGUAUAGCGUUGUGUCGUAAUAUAAGGGGGUAGAGCACUGAAUGGGCUAGGGCAUACACCAAUGUACCAAACCCUAUCAAACUCCGAAUACCUUAUAUGUAAUCACAGCAGUCAGGCGGCGAGUGAUAAAAUCCGUCGUCAAGAGGGAAACAACCCAGACUACCAGCUAAGGUCCCUAAAUCUUACUUAAGUGGAAAACGAUGUGAAGUUACUUAAACAACCAGGAGGUUGGCUUAGAAGCAGCCAUCCUUUAAAGAAAGCGUAAUAGCUCACUGGUCUAGUGAUUUUGCGCGGAAAAUAUAACGGGGCUAAAGUAAGUACCGAAGCUGUAGACUUGCACACAACUUAGAUUAUUUAAGUUUAGAAUAUGAGAAACUAAGUUAUAUGUUUAGUUAUAUUUUUACUGAUUUUUAUAGAGUAAAGAUAGAAAUAAAACUUAGUAAAAUCAGUAAAAAUAUUCUUAGACUAAAGUUAAGUAGUUUAAGUUGUGUGCAAGUGGUAGGAGAGCGUUCUAUUUGCGUCGAAGGUAUACCGGUAAGGAGUGCUGGAGCGAAUAGAAGUGAGCAUGCAGGCAUGAGUAGCGAUAAUUAAUGUGAGAAUCAUUAACGCCGUAAACCCAAGGUUUCCUACGCGAUGCUCGUCAUCGUAGGGUUAGUCGGGUCCUAAGUCGAGUCCGAAAGGGGUAGACGAUGGCAAAUUGGUUAAUAUUCCAAUACCAACAUUAGUGUGCGAUGGAAGGACGCUUAGGGCUAAGGGGGCUAGCGGAUGGAAGUGCUAGUCUAAGGUCGUAGGAGGUUAUACAGGCAAAUCCGUAUAACAAUACUCCGAGAACUGAAAGGCUUUUUGAAGUCUUCGGAUGGAUAGAAGAACCCCUGAUGCCGUCGAGCCAAGAAAAGUUUCUAAGUUUAGCUAAUGUUGCCCGUACCGUAAACCGACACAGGUGGGUGGGAUGAGUAUUCUAAGGCGCGUGGAAGAACUCUCUUUAAGGAACUCUGCAAAAUAGCACCGUAUCUUCGGUAUAAGGUGUGGUUCGCUUCGUAUUAGGAUUUACUCCGAAAGCGAAGAAACUUACAACAAAGAGUCCCUCCCGACUGUUUACCAAAAACACAGCACUCUGCUAACUCGUAAGAGGAUGUAUAGGGUGUGACGCCUGCCCGGUGCUCGAAGGUUAAUUGAUGGGGUUAGCAUUAGCGAAGCUCUUGAUCGAAGCCCGAGUAAACGGCGGCCGUAACUAUAACGGUCCUAAGGUAGCGAAAUUCCUUGUCGGUUAAAUACCGACCUGCAUGAAUGGCGUAACGAGAUGGGAGCUGUCUCAAAGAGGGAUCCAGUGAAAUUGUAGUGGAGGUGAAAAUUCCUCCUACCCGCGGCAAGACGGAAAGACCCCGUGGACCUUUACUACAGCUUGACACUGCUAUUUGGAUAAGAAUGUGCAGGAUAGGUGGGAGGCUUUGAGUAUAUGACGCCAGUUGUAUAUGAGCCAUUGUUGAGAUACCACUCUUUCUUAUUUGGGUAGCUAACCAGCUUGAGUUAUCCUCAAGUGGGACAAUGUCUGGUGGGUAGUUUGACUGGGGCGGUCGCCUCCCAAAUAAUAACGGAGGCUUACAAAGGUUGGCUCAGAACGGUUGGAAAUCGUUCGUAGAGUAUAAAGGUAUAAGCCAGCUUAACUGCAAGACAUACAAGUCAAGCAGAGACGAAAGUCGGUCUUAGUGAUCCGGUGGUUCUGUGUGGAAGGGCCAUCGCUCAAAGGAUAAAAGGUACCCCGGGGAUAACAGGCUGAUCUCCCCCAAGAGCUCACAUCGACGGGGAGGUUUGGCACCUCGAUGUCGGCUCAUCGCAUCCUGGGGCUGGAGCAGGUCCCAAGGGUAUGGCUGUUCGCCAUUUAAAGCGGUACGCGAGCUGGGUUCAGAACGUCGUGAGACAGUUCGGUCCCUAUCUGCCGUGGGCGUAAGAAGAUUGAAGAGAUUUGACCCUAGUACGAGAGGACCGGGUUGAACAAACCACUGGUGUAGCUGUUGUUCUGCCAAGAGCAUCGCAGCGUAGCUAAGUUUGGAAAGGAUAAACGCUGAAAGCAUCUAAGCGUGAAGCCAACUCUAAGAUGAAUCUUCUCUAAGCUCUCUAGAAGACUACUAGUUUGAUAGGCUGGGUGUGUAAUGGAUGAAAGUCCUUUAGCUGACCAGUACUAAUAGAGCGUUUGGCUUAUCUUUAAUAAAGCAU